AGAGUUUGAUCCUGGCUCAGAUUGAACGCUGGCGGCAUGCCUUACACAUGCAAGUCGAACGGUAACAGGUCUUCGGAUGCUGACGAGUGGCGAACGGGUGAGUAAUACAUCGGAACGUGCCCAAUCGUGGGGGAUAACGCAGCGAAAGCUGUGCUAAUACCGCAUACGAUCUACGGAUGAAAGCGGGGGACCUUCGGGCCUCGCGCGAAUGGAGCGGCCGAUGGCAGAUUAGGUAGUUGGUAGGGUAAAAGCCUACCAAGCCGACGAUCUGUAGCUGGUCUGAGAGGACGACCAGCCACACUGGGACUGAGACACGGCCCAGACUCCUACGGGAGGCAGCAGUGGGGAAUUUUGGACAAUGGGCGCAAGCCUGAUCCAGCAAUGCCGCGUGCAGGAUGAAGGCCUUCGGGUUGUAAACUGCUUUUGUACGGAGCGAAAAGGUCUCUUCUAAUACAGGAGGCCCAUGACGUACCGUAAGAAUA
Molecule: ribosomal RNA, 482 nt
Filed under: uncultured bacterium
Lineage: Bacteria
Description: bacterial SSU rRNA
Rfam family: Bacterial small subunit ribosomal RNA
Source: RNAcentral